AGGACCGGUGAGCUCCCCACCGGCGACCUUGAGCAAAAAGCCACGCACGGCCCCCGGUACGAGUGGGGGAAGCCCCCAGGUCGGGACGGGGGCGCGGCGACGGCGGCAGCAGCGGGUGUGGGCGAGGCCGCCCAGACCACAAGCAAGCCGGCGGUCUUGGGAGCAGGUGCGCCCGGCAACCUGAUCGGGUACAGUUGCUCUUUCUUUUCCUUUCAAGCACCUAACACUUUUUCUGCUUUCUCAUCCAGGACCAGGAAGCGUUGCCGGGGCCGACCCGGCAACGAUCGACGACGGCCGCCAAGAGGCGUCCGACGCAGGGGGAGGGGACACUGCGCAAGGUACAACAGGCCCGCCACAGCAUCCCCCCCGUCGCUUCUUUAUGUGUUGUACUUCACUUCUUCUUAACAGUUCUCCUUGCAGCCCCUCCUGCCGCUGCAUGAGCGGAGGCCGCAGAACUCACCCCAGCGGGCACCGUGACCGACACGGAAACCACCCCUGAGGUGACGGUGGAGCAACCCCCCACCGGACAGAGCGGGGACGGAGGGGGCUCUCCUGACAUCCAAGCCGCCGACCCGGUGUUAAUCGAGGAGGCAGCGGCCACCGGGUCUGAGCCCCUCAAUCACACCGCGACGGAGGCCAGCCGCCGCCCAGCCCCCAGGCAGGGGCAAGGGACGAGCUCGCGGCCGGUGGAAGCGGGAGGGUGCGGUCACCUUUGCCGCCACCCGAGGAGGUGGUGCGGUCACAAAUGGUGGCCGCAGGUGCCUACUCGAGUUCCGGGGCGAUCGCGGGCGCCGGCUGGGGUCUGCUGAACUGGGACCCUAGCAUCUUCGACCAGGGGCACGAGAUCAUAGAGGGCAUCAAGUGGCAGCAGCUGGGAUUCGUCAGCUGCUACAACAGGGUGCGCCAACAGCUCUCGGCAGCCCAGGGUCGGCUAGACGGCGCACGGGAGGAGGUUGAGGAGCGUCGGCAGGAGCUGGCGCGCCUCCAGGAGGAGAUCUGGGUGGCGCAGCUAGCCCGAGCCGAGGCAUUCGAGCCCUCGGUCCCGGAAGCACACGCCCAGCGCCAGCUACAAGAGCUGCGUGUGGAGCACCAGCAGGUGCUCGAGUCGCUGGAGGCGGCGCGCCUUCGCGUCGAGGGGGAGCACCAGGAAGCACUAAGGGGCUUCCAGGAGCGCCUCGAUGAGAAAAGUGGCCUCAUCUCUAGCUACUCCUCCGAGAUCCAGCAGCUGUGGCAGCAACUCGGGGAGCAGGCCAUGGCAGCCCAGGCUGUGGCGACGCGAGCCGCGUCCCGGGAGAAGGAGUUGCAGGAGUAGUUCCAAACCCAGGAACGCGAGUUCCAGGAGCAGCUCAAGGCCACGACCGACGCCAACGCAGCCCUGAAGGGCGAGCUGGACGUCGCGAGGGGCGAUCUUCGACAGCUUGACGAGGAAAACUCGGAGAAGACAUCGAAGAUCUCUGGGCUGAAGGACGAGCUCUGGAGCCAGAAGGCGGAGACCGAGCUCGCCUGCCGCAACUAUGCGAAGCUCGGGAGCCAGCGCUAAGAGAGCACGGCCCUGCUCCGCAAGUUGGCGGAGGUGGGGAACGAGUCGCUGGCAAAGCGGGGGGUACCCCCGGUAGCCAUCGACGGCAGCGACGUCAGCACCCUCAUCCCCUUCUUCGUGGAGUUCGUGGGGAGGCUGACAGCCGUGGAGGACCUUAUCCGUAGCUUCGGGGACCGGCAAAUGUGUGUCGCCGCAUCUCAGGUUGCCGGCGCCAUCCUGCCGAGGGUCCACCAAGCCUUCCCGGAGUUCCCCUUCGAGACCAUCUUCAACGACUGGUUGCCGGAGGAGAACAAGGAGGAGCACGCCAAUGCCGUCAGACGCUUCGUCGAGGAGAGGGUUGCGCGGAUGACGGGGCAGGCUGGUGCUGGUGACGAUGAGGAGGAGGUCGCCGUCGAGGAGACGCCCGCUGUCGAGUCCGCCGCCCCGGAGGCACCCCCUGCGUAGCCGUUCCUUGUAGUUUUCUUCUUCUUUUUGUACUCCUGCAACUGGCACAAGGCGCCUUAUUUCGUGUUAGCCUUUUGCCAUUCUGAAUGUCAUCCGUGAACUCAUUCGUUUGAAUUUUAUUAUAUCCAAUGCUAUUUUACUUGCUUUUUCGCCUAAGACUAGCUUGCCGAGGAAGGGCUCUGUCCUUCCCGUGCUUUAACCUUGCGUAUCCGGGGACUCGCCAACUACGUGCUUGGCCAGACUAGGGACCCGGGACGGACCCGCGGUGCCGACCUAGGGCCAAAUUGUAGCGGCUAGUCACUCCUCGUGUGGGUUAACUACCUGUAACAACCCGAGAGCAACACUUUACAUUUAAGCCCUUGUUGGACCUGUUUGUAAUUGAAUUAAUGUUGCAUAACAUUUUACAUUUGCAUCCAUGCCAUGUCAUCCCUUCUUUGCUUCGCAUAAUUUGAAAAUUACAUUUUUAACUUGUGGUUUGAAAUCUUGUUGUUUGAUUUUUCUAGAAGAUUCAAAUAUGAAUCGUCCUUCCUUCUUUGAGUUUAAAUUCCUUUUCCGAUAUUUUACAAAUGAUAUUCAAAUGGGUUUUGUUUUUAAACCUUUGCCCCAUUUGAAUAUUUCCCAAAUAGUAGUACCAUAUUUGAAUUCUCCUACUUCUCAGCUUUUCAAAAUGGUAUUUGAAUUUUGAAUCAAAAGCUAUUUGCAAAAGAGAAAACAGAAAACAGAAAAAGGAAAAAGGAAAAAGAAAAAAAAUACUUACCUCAGGCCCGAGCCGGCCCAGCAGCCGCCUCGGCCCAUUCUCCCGCGCGCCCCGCAGCCCAGCUCGGCCCAACAGCCCGGCGCACCGCCCCGCAUAGCGCUUUUCCUCAGCGAAGGCGCCUUCCGCGAAGUACGCCACCUCUCACAGAGUCUUCUUCCUCCUCCGGCCUCCCUCUGCUUUUCCCUUGUUCUGCACUCAGGUAGCGCCACGUCCUCCCUUUUGACGCGACGGCCUCUGCUGCGCCUCCUAUUUGAGCCGCUCCGCGCCCUCCUCUCAGCCCUAGCGCAGGGAAAGCCCUAGACGGACUUUCCUCCCUCUCUUUCUGUUCGUCGCCGCCAUCUUCUUCCUGGCCGCGGGCACUUUCACGUCAUGCCGCCGUUCCAGCCCGAACCAAGAAGAACCGCGCGCGUCACCUUGUUCGCCCGAAGCUGCUCUUCGUCUGGACGCAAGGAAUCGGAAGGGGAUCGACUACGUGAGGGCGCAUCGACCCCAACUCUCCCUUCGACCGCCACCACUCUCCGACGAAAUUCUGGCGAGGAGAGCCUCCCCUCGGACCAUCUUGUGCACGGUGAGCUCCGCCUCGUCGUUGCGCAUCUGGCGCUCCCUCUCUCCCUCUUUUUGGUUCCCUGUAACACGAGAAUGACGGAGACCACACCCUGGACGCCGCCGGUGAGCUUCUGCUCCAUGCCGCGCGCGCGUGCCAGAGGGAGUCGUGCGCUAGCUAUCGUGCUAGCUUGCCCUACGUGAAGCGCCGGAACAAAAGGCCAUGCCUUUGCACGCUUUGCCGUUCGUUUGGUUCGCCGGCGUCGUGCCGUUCCAUGGCCAUCGUGGGCGAGCCCAUGGACCGGCCUGUGGGCUUUGUUCUUAAUGAACGAAGCGGCUGGAUCUACAAGAUCCGUGUCUUACCACAGUGGCGCUCCCUUUGCCAGCGCGCCUCGACGCGGGUUCGAUUCCUCCCCGGUGCGGAAUAAAACCCCCAAUUUUUGGAGUUUCACCGGCCACUGACAUGUCAGUUGCCUGGUGCACCGCUGCACCCGGUGGACUGAGUCCAUGCGCCGGAUCCGCGUGGUUUUUUUCCUUUUGGUUUUUGUUUAAUUGCAUGAAAUUGUUUUAUCUUGUUUAAAUCCUAGUAAAUGCAUGCUAAAUCCAAUUUGGGCAAACCAUAUAUGUUUUGAAAUCAGAAAAAUGUAAGGAAUUUAACUGUGCUGUUAGUUUUUCAUUUUGACGUUUUGAAUUUCAAAUCUGUCCCAGAUUUGAAAUUCAAACGUAUGAACUUGUUUAGUCUCUAAUUUAAAACUAGUAGCUCAUCUGUAUUAAAGUAAACAUCAAAGUUGAUCCUUGUAACUUGUAGAACAUAGUAGCAUACUUGGUUAGGCCAUUUGAGUCCUUUAAAGCUGCUGUUGACUUUAAUUAAGUCACCUAAUGAUUAACUUUGAUGCUAAUGGAAUCAAUUCGUUUGCAUAUUGUUGCAUCAUGAUGUCACAUGUCAUUUCAUGUCGUAUUGUGCAUCGCACCUAUUGAUUGUUACCUUAUUUGUGUAUUCGGUGUUUUGGUUCUUUACGAUAGCGACUCCGACUUACUCCGUCGACGAUCCGAGUUCCCACACUUCUUCGGACCCCCUCUCUCGGUGCCCAGCGACCGAGGAUCCAGGCAAGCAGCCAUUCCUUGAACAUGUUGUUUAUACCCAAUGUCUCUUUCUCAUUCUUGCACUAAGUUACGUUCUCAGUUCUUGUCACGAUGCCUCUAGGAUUGCAUAGCUUUAGUCAGCUCUACUCAAAUGCCUGUUGUCUUGUUCCUUAUCCUAUGACCAUGUCACAUGUUUGUUCUUCUGCCCUAGUUGGUCAUUAGAAGUUUUUCUUAGCUUGCUAGUCUAGUGUCCUUACUUGGGGUUAUACAAUUGCUACAUCCACAUGCUACUUUCUGUAUUUAAUUGCAAUUAUUAAACUGUGACAUGUUAUAUUACCUGCACAAGGCAACGAUGGGAGGCUGUGCUAACGCAUUGGUUUUUUGUUCCAUUGGCGCCGACCUAAGGACCGAGUUCUCGUUUUCGCCGACUGAAGAAACUUCGUGCUAACCGCUCGUGGGAGAAUAUAUGGGUUCCCCCUCAGCUUAGUACUCGUUUCAUAGCUCUUCCAGGGGCCACAUAGUUCGGGCAUUCCAUUUGGCAUAUCGCAUAUACACUGGUGUUGUGUUGGAGACUUGUUGGUAACCUUGCAUUCAUAUAGGAUUGCUGCACUAGUCUGGAGUGGUCAUCCUGCGGGCCCUAAACCACUACCAGCUGUCCUCGCAACUCUUGAGUCCGUACGAUGCUUCGGCCGGGCUCUCGUUUUGGAUUAGACUCAGUUGGGUGGUCCUCUGAAUUAGUUGUGGGGCUUGAAAACGUCGUGUCGCCCAAUCCUGCCGACACACGUCUUUGUGUGUUCCUACUCGAGUGGCAACAAGGGUUGGAUGAACAUGUACGGGGAAAUUGGCACACCCUGUAGGGAUAAAUCUUUUCGGAAAUCCGUGUCUGCGGUUAUGGACGACUUGGUUGGUCAUUACUUGAUCAUAGAGAACUUAAUCUUUUAAUCAACUUAAUCUCAUAAACUUGAGUAGUAAUUAGCCUUAAUCAUGGAUAUGCUUAAAACUGCUUAAGUGUGAGUGUCUUUGGAUCAUUUCCUCACAAGGGGUUGAGGGGGUAAUAAGAUGUUGCGUUUAUUUGGUGUUAGUUAUUAGAAGAUCACCUCACUUAGUAGACGCUUCUUAUCCUCUACUUAGACGAUGUCAUUAGUGUGUCUCUCUAGAGAUAUUGCUGUUGCAUAACCCCACCAUAUUAUCCAUCCUUUGAGACUUGUUGCAUAUCUAGUUUAGAUCUCCUGUAAGUCUUGCGAGUACCUUGUACUCAGUUGCUUUGCAACGUUGUUUUCUCCAGAGUUUCCAGAGGAGCAGGUGAGUGGUUACUUCGUGGAGUUCGACGACGACAGCUUCGACGUUUAGCCAGCAGAUUCCAGAGCAGGGUUCUGUGAACUUGUGGCGGGCUCUCCUUUUAGUUUCAGCCUCUUAUGCAAGAAUUGUAACUUGUCCGUACUCGGACCUAACUUGCUUCCGCUGGUGUAAUGAUGAUUGUGGACAUGUGUCCGUGAGUUGUAAUAACUUGGUAUUUCGCUCCUUGUAUGAGCUUGGCUUAAUCUUGAGUGUUAGAGUGAUGUAAUGUUAUCAUUUUUGUUCCAACCUGCGGUGGACACAUUGCGUGUAUGUUGUGAAGUGUUCAUCGUAGGGAGGCACUGGUACUUAAUUUAUGCGCGAGUUAGCAUUUGGGGCUAAAUUGCAUAAAUUCGGUCCCGGAGUCUCACACUACCCCAGCGCGCACGCCUCCGGGACGGACCUGCGAGCCACGUGUGGGGGCUGUCCUCCCCCCGCAAGCGUCCUUCCCACGCUUCGG
RNAcentral lists this long non-coding RNA (6162 nucleotides) under Brachypodium distachyon (stiff brome). RNAcentral's name for it is "long non-coding RNA (BDIS_LNC004695)". Lineage: Eukaryota; Viridiplantae; Streptophyta; Magnoliopsida; Poales; Poaceae. The record is from RNAcentral.